RNAcentral lists this ribosomal RNA (448 nucleotides) under uncultured bacterium. RNAcentral's name for it is "partial 16S ribosomal RNA". It matches the Rfam family "Bacterial small subunit ribosomal RNA", at positions 29 to 523 of the family's 1533-position model. The record is from RNAcentral.
AACGAACGCUGGCGGCAUGCCUAACACAUGCAAGUCGAACGAGAUCUUCGGGUCUAGUGGUGCACGGGUGCGUAACGCGUGGGAAUCCGCCCUUUGGUUCGGAAUAACAGUUGGUAACGACUGCUAAUACCGGAUGAUGACGAAAGUCCAAAGAUUUAUCGCCAGAGGAUGAGCCCGCGUAGGAUUAGCUAGUUGGUGUGGUAAAGGCGCACCAAGGCGACGAUCCUUAGCUGGUCUGAGAGGAUGAUCAGCCACACUGGGACUGAGACACGGCCCAGACUCCUACGGGAGGCAGCAGUGGGGAAUAUUGGACAAUGGGCGAAAGCCUGAUCCAGCAAUGCCGCGUGAGUGAUGAAGGCCUUAGGGUUGUAAAGCUCUUUACCCGGGAUGAUAAUGACAGUACCGGGAGAAUAAGCUCCGGCUAACUCCGUGCCAGCCGCCGCCGUAA